RNAcentral lists this transfer RNA (68 nucleotides) under Chrysomeloidea sp. 6 KM-2017. RNAcentral's name for it is "tRNA-Pro". The record is from RNAcentral. Lineage: Eukaryota; Metazoa; Arthropoda; Insecta; Coleoptera.
CAGGGAAUAGUUUAAUUAGAAUAUUAAUUUUGGAGAUUAAUGAUAAAGAUAAAUUUCUUUUUUCCUGA